CAGUCGCCGCGGGAACACGUAGGUGGCAAGCGUUGUCCGGAAUUAUUGGGCGUAAAGGGCUCGCAGGCGGUUUCUUAAGUCUGAUGUGAAAGCCCCCGGCUCAACCGGGGAGGGUCAUUGGAAACUGGGAAACUUGAGUGCAGAAGGGGAGAGUGGAAUUCCACGUGUAGCGGUGAAAUGCGUAGAGAUGUGGAGGAACACCAGUGGCGAAGGCGACUCUCUGGUCUGUAACUGACGCUGAGGAGCGAAAGCGUGGGGAGCGAACAGGAUUAGAUACCCCAGUAGUCCCUGUCUCUUAUAC
RNAcentral lists this ribosomal RNA (301 nucleotides) under uncultured bacterium. Its description in RNAcentral is "partial 16S ribosomal RNA". It matches the Rfam family "Bacterial small subunit ribosomal RNA", at positions 509 to 807 of the family's 1533-position model. The record is from RNAcentral.